Molecule: ribosomal RNA, 361 nt
Filed under: uncultured bacterium
Lineage: Bacteria
Description: partial 16S ribosomal RNA
Rfam family: Bacterial small subunit ribosomal RNA
Source: RNAcentral
CCUACGGGAGGCAGCAGUGGGGAAUAUUGCGCAAUGGGCGAAAGCCUGACGCAGCGACGCCGCGUGAGGGAUGAAGGUCUUCGGAUCGUAAACCUCUGUCAGCAGGGAAGAACGGUCACUGUGCUAAUCAGCAGUGAAUUGACGGUACCUGCAAAGGAAGCACCGGCUAACUCCGUGCCAGCAGCCGCGGUAAUACGGAGGGUGCGAGCGUUAAUCGGAAUUACUGGGCGUAAAGCGCUCGUAGGCGGUAUGUCAAGUCAAGGGUGAAAUCCCCGCCCUCAACGUGGGAACUGCCUUUGAAAACGGGAAACCGGGGUGUGGGAGAGGAGAGUGGAAGUCCAGGGGGAGGAGGUAAAACCGU